Molecule: long non-coding RNA, 1483 nt
Organism: Heterocephalus glaber (naked mole-rat)
Lineage: Eukaryota; Metazoa; Chordata; Mammalia; Rodentia; Bathyergidae
Source: Ensembl
CAGAGAAAGUGGUGCUGGGCUGCGCCGGUGGGUAGCUCCAAGGAGUCCUCUUCGUCCUGUUUCCUUCUCAGAAGUUAGACCUUGGGAUGGCUUCCAGUGGCACUGAGGUCAGAGCUAUUGCUCCAGCUAAAGCUAACAGUGUUCUGCUCAGGAAGUGGACCCCUGCCUUCCCAGAAGACAACAGAACAGAAGCAGCUGGAGGUGGGAGACUGCAAACAGGUGUGCAGGAGGAUGAGGAAGAAGCUGAACAGAAGCAUGAGGCAGAGUUCUACAGACAGCGGAGAUUGUUUUCCAUUCACUCUGGCAAGGACACCCACACCUUUUACAUCAAUUUACAACAAGAAGGACAAUUUCCUUCUCGAGAGUGCCAAUGGGGGGAUGAGGAGGAGGCUGGAGAGGAGGGAAAGAGGGUAGUCCGAGUAUAAGAGGACCUCUGGGCUUCCAGAAGCAGCAGACAUCAAGUACAGGCCACAGGGUUAGGAGGAACAGUCAGUCCCUUAGAAUCACUUUCUACCAGAGGCAGAAGGGGCUCAGCCACCAACAACCCCAUUUGACAGAGGAGAAAUCAAGGCUGUAGUCAAUUCUCCCUAAACUGCAGAGUGAGAAGCCAAGCGUAGACCAGAGCACUAUCUCCCGGCAUAGGGAGGGAAAGCUUCUUGACUCUGGAAUUGCCUGGGAAGGGCAAAACAUUUGCAGCCACACAGCCAGGAGCCCGGUUGGUUAUUUUUAGCUUACUGAAUGUCAAAAUCCAGGCUGCUCCUCCCAGUGGCCUCCACUUGUCAGACCCAAUCAAGGCAUGUGCAUGUCAGGCAGGGGAAUCAGCUUCCCACAGAAGCAGCCUUGAGGCCCCAUCCAGUCCCACAUGGUGCCCCUGAUAAGGCCCUGGGGUGUCCCUCAUGGGGUCCAAGUCCAGCUGGUUGGGAGCAGCUCUCCACCCACCUGCCAGGGCGUGGCUCCCACCUGCAGCCUGGGUCACACCUGAGCACAGUCCGCAGCCUUUGCUUGCCUGGGUUUUCCCUGGGCUGAAGCCAGCUCGGCAGCCCUGCUUUGAAUCAACAUAGUUUACAGGAAUAAAAGCAAGCUCCAGUCCUGAGUGCUGCCCAACUGUCGGAACACCUACUGGCUGGGCUUUGGACACAAACACUCCCCCUGAGCCUCAGGAGGCUGACAGUCCCCUGGACAGAAGAGCAUGAGGCCUUCGUGCUGGGAUCUCAGGACGGGUUGCACAGGACUUUGUGAGAUAAUGUUGCUGAGCAGUCAGAGCCACUGACCUUUAGAGAAACGCUGAGGUGGAAUUUCCCUGGUGACUUUUCCUCUACAUACGUGAUUGGGAGUCUGGCUCCUGGACGCAAGAUGGUCAGGGGCAUCACCAAAGAAGAGGACAGGAUUGUGCUCAGCAGAAGGGAGCUGCGAGCCUGGGCCUGCUCUCUGGCCUUCAAAGAACAGCUGGGAUGGAUGAAGGCAGGGAGAGCAGGAUGUUGUG